This 429-nucleotide ribosomal RNA is filed under the name bacterium. RNAcentral's name for it is "partial 16S ribosomal RNA". It matches the Rfam family "Bacterial small subunit ribosomal RNA", at positions 355 to 776 of the family's 1533-position model. The record is from RNAcentral.
UAGGGAAUCUUCCACAAUGGACGCAAGUCUGAUGGAGCAACGCCGCGUGAGUGAAGAAGGUUUUCGGAUCGUAAAGCUCUGUUGUUGGUGAAGAAGGAUAGAGGCAGUAACUGGUCUUUAUUUGACGGUAAUCAACCAGAAAGUCACGGCUGACUACGUGCCAGCAGCCGCGGUAAUACGUAGGUGGCAAGCGUUGUCCGGAUUUAUUGGGCGUAAAGCGAGCGCAGGCGGAAUGAUAAGUCUGAUGUGAAAGCCCACGGCUCAACCGUGGAACUGCAUCGGAAACUGUCAUUCUUGAGUGCAGAAGAGGAGAGUGGAAUUCCAUGUGUAGCGGUGGAAUGCGUAGAUAUAUGGAAGAACACCAGUGGCGAAGGCGGCUCUCUGGUCUGCAACUGACGCUGAGGCUCGAAAGCAUGGGUAGCGAACAGG